CAGCAGCAGCCACGGUAACACGUAGGGGGCAAGCGUUAUCCGGAUUUACUGGGUGUAAAGGGAGCGCAGACGGCUCUGCAAGUCUGAAGUGAAAGCCCGCGGCUUAACCGCGAGACUGCUUUGGAAACUGCAAGGCUUGAGUAUCGGAGGGGCAGGCGGAAUUCCUAGUGUAGCGGUGAAAUGCGUAGAUAUUAGGAAGAACACCGGUGGCGAAGGCGGCCUGCUGGACGAAAACUGACGUUGAGGCUCGAAGACGUGGGGAGCAAACAGGAUUAGAGACCCCAGUAGUCCCUGUCUCUUAUAC
RNAcentral lists this ribosomal RNA (304 nucleotides) under uncultured bacterium. Its description in RNAcentral is "partial 16S ribosomal RNA". It matches the Rfam family "Bacterial small subunit ribosomal RNA", at positions 506 to 807 of the family's 1533-position model. The record is from RNAcentral.